Molecule: ribosomal RNA, 2920 nt
Filed under: Staphylococcus aureus M1544
Lineage: Bacteria; Bacillati; Bacillota; Bacilli; Caryophanales; Staphylococcaceae
Description: bacterial LSU rRNA
Rfam family: Bacterial large subunit ribosomal RNA
Source: RNAcentral
UUAAGUUAUUAAGGGCGCACGGUGGAUGCCUUGGCACUAGAAGCCGAUGAAGGACGUUACUAACGACGAUAUGCUUUGGGGAGCUGUAAGUAAGCUUUGAUCCAGAGAUUUCCGAAUGGGGAAACCCAGCAUGAGUUAUGUCAUGUUAUCGAUAUGUGAAUACAUAGCAUAUCAGAAGGCACACCCGGAGAACUGAAACAUCUUAGUACCCGGAGGAAGAGAAAGAAAAUUCGAUUCCCUUAGUAGCGGCGAGCGAAACGGGAAGAGCCCAAACCAACAAGCUUGCUUGUUGGGGUUGUAGGACACUCUAUACGGAGUUACAAAGGACGACAUUAGACGAAUCAUCUGGAAAGAUGAAUCAAAGAAGGUAAUAAUCCUGUAGUCGAAAAUGUUGUCUCUCUUGAGUGGAUCCUGAGUACGACGGAGCACGUGAAAUUCCGUCGGAAUCUGGGAGGACCAUCUCCUAAGGCUAAAUACUCUCUAGUGACCGAUAGUGAACCAGUACCGUGAGGGAAAGGUGAAAAGCACCCCGGAAGGGGAGUGAAAUAGAACCUGAAACCGUGUGCUUACAAGUAGUCAGAGCCCGUUAAUGGGUGAUGGCGUGCCUUUUGUAGAAUGAACCGGCGAGUUACGAUUUGAUGCAAGGUUAAGCAGUAAAUGUGGAGCCGUAGCGAAAGCGAGUCUGAAUAGGGCGUUUAGUAUUUGGUCGUAGACCCGAAACCAGGUGAUCUACCCUUGGUCAGGUUGAAGUUCAGGUAACACUGAAUGGAGGACCGAACCGACUUACGUUGAAAAGUGAGCGGAUGAACUGAGGGUAGCGGAGAAAUUCCAAUCGAACCUGGAGAUAGCUGGUUCUCUCCGAAAUAGCUUUAGGGCUAGCCUCAAGUGAUGAUUAUUGGAGGUAGAGCACUGUUUGGACGAGGGGCCCCUCUCGGGUUACCGAAUUCAGACAAACUCCGAAUGCCAAUUAAUUUAACUUGGGAGUCAGAACAUGGGUGAUAAGGUCCGUGUUCGAAAGGGAAACAGCCCAGACCACCAGCUAAGGUCCCAAAAUAUAUGUUAAGUGGAAAAGGAUGUGGCGUUGCCCAGACAACUAGGAUGUUGGCUUAGAAGCAGCCAUCAUUUAAAGAGUGCGUAAUAGCUCACUAGUCGAGUGACACUGCGCCGAAAAUGUACCGGGGCUAAACAUAUUACCGAAGCUGUGGAUUGUCCUUUGGACAAUGGUAGGAGAGCGUUCUAAGGGCGUUGAAGCAUGAUCGUAAGGACAUGUGGAGCGCUUAGAAGUGAGAAUGCCGGUGUGAGUAGCGAAAGACGGGUGAGAAUCCCGUCCACCGAUUGACUAAGGUUUCCAGAGGAAGGCUCGUCCGCUCUGGGUUAGUCGGGUCCUAAGCUGAGGCCGACAGGCGUAGGCGAUGGAUAACAGGUUGAUAUUCCUGUACCACCUAUAAUCGUUUUAAUCGAUGGGGGGACGCAGUAGGAUAGGCGAAGCGUGCGAUUGGAUUGCACGUCUAAGCAGUAAGGCUGAGUAUUAGGCAAAUCCGGUACUCGUUAAGGCUGAGCUGUGAUGGGGAGAAGACAUUGUGUCUUCGAGUCGUUGAUUUCACACUGCCGAGAAAAGCCUCUAGAUAGAAAAUAGGUGCCCGUACCGCAAACCGACACAGGUAGUCAAGAUGAGAAUUCUAAGGUGAGCGAGCGAACUCUCGUUAAGGAACUCGGCAAAAUGACCCCGUAACUUCGGGAGAAGGGGUGCUCUUUAGGGUUAACGCCCAGAAGAGCCGCAGUGAAUAGGCCCAAGCGACUGUUUAUCAAAAACACAGGUCUCUGCUAAACCGUAAGGUGAUGUAUAGGGGCUGACGCCUGCCCGGUGCUGGAAGGUUAAGAGGAGUGGUUAGCUUCUGCGAAGCUACGAAUCGAAGCCCCAGUAAACGGCGGCCGUAACUAUAACGGUCCUAAGGUAGCGAAAUUCCUUGUCGGGUAAGUUCCGACCCGCACGAAAGGCGUAACGAUUUGGGCACUGUCUCAACGAGAGACUCGGUGAAAUCAUAGUACCUGUGAAGAUGCAGGUUACCCGCGACAGGACGGAAAGACCCCGUGGAGCUUUACUGUAGCCUGAUAUUGAAAUUCGGCACAGCUUGUACAGGAUAGGUAGGAGCCUUUGAAACGUGAGCGCUAGCUUACGUGGAGGCGCUGGUGGGAUACUACCCUAGCUGUGUUGGCUUUCUAACCCGCACCACUUAUCGUGGUGGGAGACAGUGUCAGGCGGGCAGUUUGACUGGGGCGGUCGCCUCCUAAAAGGUAACGGAGGCGCUCAAAGGUUCCCUCAGAAUGGUUGGAAAUCAUUCAUAGAGUGUAAAGGCAUAAGGGAGCUUGACUGCGAGACCUACAAGUCGAGCAGGGUCGAAAGACGGACUUAGUGAUCCGGUGGUUCCGCAUGGAAGGGCCAUCGCUCAACGGAUAAAAGCUACCCCGGGGAUAACAGGCUUAUCUCCCCCAAGAGUUCACAUCGACGGGGAGGUUUGGCACCUCGAUGUCGGCUCAUCGCAUCCUGGGGCUGUAGUCGGUCCCAAGGGUUGGGCUGUUCGCCCAUUAAAGCGGUACGCGAGCUGGGUUCAGAACGUCGUGAGACAGUUCGGUCCCUAUCCGUCGUGGGCGUAGGAAAUUUGAGAGGAGCUGUCCUUAGUACGAGAGGACCGGGAUGGACAUACCUCUGGUGUACCAGUUGUCGUGCCAACGGCAUAGCUGGGUAGCUAUGUGUGGACGGGAUAAGUGCUGAAAGCAUCUAAGCAUGAAGCCCCCCUCAAGAUGAGAUUUCCCAACUUCGGUUAUAAGAUCCCUCAAAGAUGAUGAGGUUAAUAGGUUCGAGGUGGAAGCAUGGUGACAUCGUUUCCUGUAGGAUGGAAACAUAGAUUAAGUUAUUAAG